CAGAAGAAAGUCAGUCCCGAGGCAGCAAAAUGGGGCCGCAACGGGGGGGCUGCAGGAUGAGGGGUGCGUUGAGGUUGGCUUUGGAGCAGGGGAGUGGAGGGAAGCAGCUCAGGCAGUGACAGCAGUUCAAGGCACAGGAGUGGAAUGUGAUCGUGUUUCUGAUCUAUACAAUGGAACCGACUCCUGGACAAAAGCAUCAGAGUGCUACUUUGAACACUGCAGAAUUUAGACACGUAGCAAGGAAAGUCAGGAAGAAAUAACUCACAGGCUGUCCAGG
This is a long non-coding RNA of Numida meleagris (helmeted guineafowl), 277 nucleotides long. RefSeq lists it as uncharacterized. The transcript has 3 exons. The record is from RefSeq and is a predicted model, not a curated record. NCBI's taxonomy places the organism in Eukaryota, Metazoa, Chordata, Aves, Galliformes, Numididae.